RNAcentral lists this ribosomal RNA (478 nucleotides) under uncultured bacterium. RNAcentral's name for it is "partial 16S ribosomal RNA". It matches the Rfam family "Bacterial small subunit ribosomal RNA", at positions 28 to 523 of the family's 1533-position model. The record is from RNAcentral.
GACGAACGCUGGCGGCGUGCUUAACACAUGCAAGUCGAACGGUAAGGCCCUUCGGGGUACACGAGUGGCGAACGGGUGAGUAACACGUGGGUGAUCUACCCUGCACUUCGGGAUAAGCCUGGGAAACUGGGUCUAAUACCGGAUAGGACCACUGCCUGCAUGGGUGGUGGUGGAAAGCUUUUGCGGUGUGGGAUGGGCCCGCGGCCUAUCAGCUUGUUGGUGGGGUGAUGGCCUACCAAGGCGACGACGGGUAGCCGGCCUGAGAGGGUGACCGGCCACACUGGGACUGAGAUACGGCCCAGACUCCUACGGGAGUCAGCAGUGGGGAAUAUUGCACAAUGGGCGCAAGCCUGAUGCAGCGACGCCGCGUGAGGGAUGACGGCCUUCGGGUUGUAAACCUCUUUCAGCACCGACGAAGCGCAAGUGACGGUAGGUGCAGAAGAAGGACCGGCCAACUACGUGCCAGCAGCCGCGGUAA